AGAGUUUGAUCCUGGCUCAGGAUGAACGCUAGCGACAGGCUUAACACAUGCAAGUCGAGGGGCAGCAUGAGAGUAGCAAUACUCUUGAUGGCGACCGGCGCACGGGUGCGUAACGCGUAUGCAACCUACCUCCUACCCGGGGAUAACCCGGAGAAAUCCGGACUAAUACCUGAUGUGGUAUGUUUGAGACAACUCAUACAUAUUAAAGAUUCAUCGGUAGGGGAUGGGCAUGCGGAUGAUUAGCUGGUUGGUGAGGCAACGGCUCACCAAGGCGACGAUCAUUAGGGGUUCUGAGAGGAAGGUCCCCCACAUUGGUACUGAGACACGGACCAAACUCCUACGGGAGGCAGCAGUGAGGAAUAUUGGUCAAUGGGCGAGAGCCUGAACCAGCCAAGUCGCGUGAGGGAUGAAGGUCCUACGGAUUGUAAACCUCUUUUGCCGGGGAGUAACGGGUCGGACGUGUCCGGCCGUGAGAGUACCCGGAGAAAAAGCAUCGGCUAACUCCGUGCCAGCAGCCGCGGUAAUACGGAGGAUGCGAGCGUUAUCCGGAUUUAUUGGGUUUAAAGGGUGCGCAGGCGGCGCGUCAAGUCAGCGGUCAAAGUUCCGGGCUCAACCCGGUGAUGCCCGUUGAAACUGGCGUGCUCGAGUACGCGGGAGGAACGCGGAAUGCGUGGUGUAGCGGUGAAAUGCAUAGAUAUCACGCAGAACCCCGAUUGCGAAGGCAGCGUUCCAUCGCGCCACUGACGCUGAGGCACGAAAGCGUGGGGAUCGAACAGGAUUAGAUACCCUGGUAGUCCACGCAGUAAACGAUGACUACUAGUUUUUCGGCACGAUUGGGUGCGGAGAGACACAGCGAAAGCGUUAAGUAGUCCACCUGGGGAGUACGCCGGCAACGGUGAAACUCAAAGGAAUUGACGGGGGCCCGCACAAGCGGAGGAACAUGUGGUUUAAUUCGAUGAUACGCGAGGAACCUUACCCGGGCUCAAACGACAGGGGACGGCAGAUGAAAGUUUGCUUCCAGCAAUGGCCGCUGUCGAGGUGCUGCAUGGUUGUCGUCAGCUCGUGCCGUGAGGUGUCGGCUUAAGUGCCAUAACGAGCGCAACCCCCAUCUUCAGUUGCCAUCGGGCGAUGCCGGGCACUCUGGAGAGACUGCCAGCGCAAGCUGUGAGGAAGGCGGGGAUGACGUCAAAUCAGCACGGCCCUUACGUCCGGGGCGACACACGUGUUACAAUGGCGGAGAACAGAGGGGAGCCAGGUGGCGACACCGAGCCGAUCCCGAAAAUCCGUCUCAGUUCGGAUCGGAGUCUGCAACCCGACUCCGUGAAGCUGGAUUCGCUAGUAAUCGCGCAUCAGCCAUGGCGCGGUGAAUACGUUCCCGGGCCUUGCACUCACCGCCCGUCA
This 1401-nucleotide ribosomal RNA is filed under the name uncultured bacterium. RNAcentral describes it as "16S ribosomal RNA". It matches the Rfam family "Bacterial small subunit ribosomal RNA". The record is from RNAcentral.